This 137-nucleotide ribosomal RNA is filed under the name uncultured bacterium. RNAcentral describes it as "partial 16S ribosomal RNA". It matches the Rfam family "Bacterial small subunit ribosomal RNA", at positions 355 to 509 of the family's 1533-position model. The record is from RNAcentral.
UGGGGGAUAUUGCACAAUGGGGGGGAACCCUGAUGCAGCGACGCCGCGUGGGUGAAGAAGCGCCUCGGCGCGUAAAGCCCUGUCAGCAGGGAAGAAAUGACGGUACCUGAAGAAGAAGCCCCGGCUAACUACGUGCC